GAUGAACGCUGGCGGCGUGCCUAAUACAUGCAAGUCGAACGCACAGCGAAAGGUGCUUGCACCUUUCAAGUGAGUGGCGAACGGGUGAGUAACACGUGGAUAACCUACCUCAAGGUUGGGGAUAACAUUUGGAAACAGAUGCUAAUACCGAAUAAAACUUCGUAUCGCAUGAUACAAGGUUAAAAGGCGCUACGGCGUCACCUAGAGAUGGAUCCGCGGUGCAUUAGUUAGUUGGUGGGUAAAGGCUACCAAGACAAUGAUGCAUAGCCGAGUUGAGAGACUGAUCGGCCACAUUGGGACUGAGACACGGCCCAAACU
RNAcentral lists this ribosomal RNA (318 nucleotides) under uncultured bacterium. RNAcentral's name for it is "bacterial SSU rRNA". It matches the Rfam family "Bacterial small subunit ribosomal RNA", at positions 28 to 337 of the family's 1533-position model. The record is from RNAcentral.